GAUGAACGCUGGCGGCGUGCCUAAUACAUGCAAGUCGAGCGAACAGACGAGGCUCUUGCUUCUCUGACGCUAGCGGCGGACGGGUGAGUCACACGUGGAUAACCUACCUAUAAGACUGGGAUACCUUCGGGAAAGCUGAUCUCACAUCGGCUCAUAUAUUGAACCGCAUGGUUCAUUAGUCAUAGCCCUAUUUGCUGUGCCUUAUAGAUGGUACCUCGUCGGAUUAGUUAGUUGGUAAGGUAACGGCCUACCAAGGCAACGAUGCGUAGCCGACCUGAGAGGGUGAUCGGCCACACUGGAACUGAGACACGGUCCAGACUCCUACGGGAGGCAGCAGUAGGGAAUCUUCGGCAAUGGGCGAAAGCCUGAUGGAGCCACGCCGCGUGAGUGAUGAAGGUCUUCGGAUCGUAAAGCUCUGUUAGUAGGGAAGAACAAAUGUGAAAGUAACUAUGCACGUCUUGACGGUACCUAAAGAGAAAGCCACGGCUAACUACGUG
This 497-nucleotide ribosomal RNA is filed under the name uncultured bacterium. RNAcentral's name for it is "partial 16S ribosomal RNA". It matches the Rfam family "Bacterial small subunit ribosomal RNA", at positions 28 to 507 of the family's 1533-position model. The record is from RNAcentral.